GAUGAACGCUGGUGGCGUGCCUAAUACAUGCAAGUCGAGCGAACGGACGAGAAGCUUGCUUCUCUGAUGUUAGCGGCGGACGGGUGAGUAACACGUGGAUAACCUACCUAUAAGACUGGGAUAACUUCGGGAAACCGGAGCUAAUACCGGAUAAUAUUAUGAACCGCAUGGUUCAAAAGUGAAAGACGGUCUUGCUGUCACUUAUAGAUGGAUCCGCGCUGCAUUAGCUAGUUGGUAAGGUAACGGCUUACCAAGGCAACGAUGCAUAGCCGACCUGAGAGGGUGAUCGGCCACACUGGAACUGAGACACGGUCCAGACUCCUACGGGAGGCAGCAGUAGGGAAUCUUCCGCAAUGGGCGAAAGCCUGACGGAGCAACGCCGCGUGAGUGAUGAAGGUCUUCGGAUCGUAAAACUCUGUUAUUAGGGAAGAACAUAUGUGUAAGUAACUGUGCACAUCUUGACGGUACCUAAUCAGAAAGCCACGGCUAACUACGUG
This 497-nucleotide ribosomal RNA is filed under the name uncultured bacterium. RNAcentral's name for it is "partial 16S ribosomal RNA". It matches the Rfam family "Bacterial small subunit ribosomal RNA", at positions 28 to 507 of the family's 1533-position model. The record is from RNAcentral.